RNAcentral lists this ribosomal RNA (203 nucleotides) under uncultured bacterium. RNAcentral describes it as "partial 16S ribosomal RNA". It matches the Rfam family "Bacterial small subunit ribosomal RNA", at positions 296 to 517 of the family's 1533-position model. The record is from RNAcentral.
GAGGGCGACCGGCCACAUUGGGACUGAGACACGGCCCAACUCCUACGGGAGGCAGCAGUGGGGAAUAUUGCACAAUGGGGGAAACCCUGAUGCAGCGACGCCGCGUGAGCGAAGAAGUAUUUCGGUAUGUAAAGCUCUAUCAGCAGGGAAGAUAAUGACGGUACCUGACUAAGAAGCCCCGGCUAACUACGUGCCAGCCGCCG